AUUGAACGCUGGCGGCAGGCCUAACACAUGCAAGUCGAGCGGAUGGAGGGAGCUUGCUCCUGGAUUCAGCGGCGGACGGGUGAGUAAUGCCUAGGAAUCUGCCUGGUAGUGGGGGAUAACGUCCGGAAACGGGCGCUAAUACCGCAUACGUCCUGAGGGAGAAAGUGGGGGAUCUUCGGACCUCACGCUAUCAGAUGAGCCUAGGUCGGAUUAGCUAGUUGGUGGGGUAAAGGCCUACCAAGGCGACGAUCCGUAACUGGUCUGAGAGGAUGAUCAGUCACACUGGAACUGAGACACGGUCCAGACUCCUACGGGAGGCAGCAGUGGGGAAUAUUGGACAAUGGGCGAAAGCCUGAUCCAGCCAUGCCGCGCGUGUGAAGAAGGUCUUCGGAUUGUAAAGCACUUUAAGUUGGGAGGAAGGGCAGUAAGUUAAUACCUUGCUGUUUUGACGUUACCAACAGAAUAAGCACCGGCUAACUUCGUG
RNAcentral lists this ribosomal RNA (484 nucleotides) under uncultured bacterium. RNAcentral describes it as "partial 16S ribosomal RNA". It matches the Rfam family "Bacterial small subunit ribosomal RNA", at positions 30 to 507 of the family's 1533-position model. The record is from RNAcentral.